GAAAGCAUUUAACUUGGACUGUUUCAGGGUAUAUCACUCUCAUAAAGCUGCUCUGGGCAGUUGCAUCUUUAAUGAGGUUCCUUAGAUAAGAGGAACAAAUACUCUCAACUGAAAGCUGUCUCAACAAGUAUGGAACUAUACUUAUUUAAUUCAAGCAAUGGGUUUACUCACACCCUUCCUUCUUUCAGAAAGGAUUUCAGGCAGCUUAGCAAGUGUGAAGGUCUAAAGGUAUAGAGACACCUGAAAGCCUCAGAUUAAUAUCUGGAACAUAUAACGUGUCCAGAUAGUUUUCAAUUAUCAAUACAUUAAUCUAACGCUUGGAAAGAGCUUUUAAACAGCAGUGAAACAUCAACUACCUUCGAACCUGAAUUUUUAGUAAGCUAUUUUGUCAUCUGGAGCCCUGCACAAUGUCCCUUUUGUUCCUUAGAAAAAAAGAAAGAAAGAAAAGCAACCUUCUGGUGCUGCUUUUGUUCGUCUUAUCAUCUUAUCAUUCAGCAGCCUAUUCAGGAUCACACGUGGGAAAGUGUGUAAGACUGACCCCUCUAUGCAGCGCAGGAAUUCCUUGGAAAAACAUCUUUCUUAAAUGGGUAGCUAUGUAAAAAGGAAAAGAGAAAUCCUACUUUUAUGCUGAAGUUGGCUUUUUGCUCCCUAUGUUGAAAUUCUAAUGUUUAAGAAAAUGCAAAGCAGACCCUCUCUGUGGCUGUCUUCACACUCCAGGGUUAUGACAGCAGCUGCUUACCUGAGGUUACUAGGGGAUUCUUGCAAUGGAAAGGAGAGAACACCGCGCUUUAAGCCAACGUGCUCUGUCUGAUGUUUUGUUUUUGAGAAUAGAGGGUGACAAAGAGAUAUAUUUUCUACUGAAUUAUGCCAAUAUUACAUGAACAUUAUGGGGAUAAGAAUGGUUACAAAGUUCCCUGAAAAUAUCAAUAUGUAUGAUUUGAGGGCCCAAGACAGAAUUGGGGGGAAAAAAAAAAAAACCAACAACAAACAAAACUAUUAUUAACAGAGUCCUGAUCUUAACACUGAAACAGAUGACAGUGUUUCAGAAUUUUGAAAUCCUGAUUACUGGAGUUACCAAAUUUAUACCCAGAUUCCAUCUGGGAAAUGCAGUGGGGCCAAACAUCUCACAACUGAGGAAUUCUCAUUACAAAUAGCAUUUCCAGAUGUGACAAACAAUUGGUCAGAUGCUACUGGACAUUUAGAAGCUUCACUGGGUGUUUCACUAAAUUUGGUGACAGCUGAUUAAUUAAACAGCCCAUUCUACAAAUACCACGAUUUUCCCUUGAAACAUUUCAUAGCAAUCACUACGCCGAGAAGAAAAAUGAAGUAUGAACUCAAUGGUAUGUGAAUAACUAAUUUCUGCAGGGUUUAUUCCUAUCCUAUACCAUUCGGCUUGGCCAUGGCCCAGGGUUCGGUUCCUCAGGAAAAAGGAGGAAUGGCCAUUGGGAAGCAAGUAGUGGACUCCAACCUUUAAGCUGCCCAAAUCUACCUAUGUACUCAUUCCCACGCAUGAAACGAGUUUCAUCUGUUUACUCCAUCUCGCUCAAAGCCGAGAACCUCUGUGCGCUUUCCUCUUGGUUGGGUUCCGAUGUGGCUGUUACAAGACCAAAAAUUAUUUCUCCUAUUAAACCAAACAGAAAAUGGUAGUGAAGGGAAUUGUAAUAAUGAACUCUGGGGAAGAAGGGAAAGGAAACACACAGCUGUUCCAGUUCCCCGGCAACAAUCAAGUGCAGCAGGGCAGAGACAGCACACCCGGGACAGACCAGAGCAAGGGCGGGUUUAGUGCUGCCCAGCUGACAGCCCACGUUUCUAAUCCCUGGGAGUGUUUCCCUUGCUCACUGUCCCCUCUGAGCCCAACACUCGUUCCUCCAGGAGGAAGUUCUGUAUCCAUUAUCUUUCGUGACCACAGACCUUUGAGGCAGACACUGUAGGGUAUUUCUUUCCCUGCUGUCUUAGCUUGGGCUGUCAUAACAAAACACCAUGGAUUGGGUGGUUUAAACAACAUCAUGUAUUUCUUACAUUUCUGGAGGCUGAGAAGUCCAAGAUCAAGGUGCCAAUAAGGUCAGUUUCUGGUGAGGGCCCAUCCUGGCUAACGCCCUUCUAGGUGUGUUCUCCCAGGGUGGGGGGCGAGAGGGCUGGAGGACGAAGGGGUGCUUUCUCUUCUAAUAAGGACACUAAUCUCUUUAUGGGGGCCCUACCAUCAUGACCUCAUCUAAAUCAAGUCACCUUCCAAAGGCCCUACCUCCAAAUACCAUCACAUUGGAUGUGAGGGGUCCAACAUACAGAUUUUGAAAGGACACAAACAUGCAACCUAUAACACUUGGGGUUAUCUAGCUUCAGAAGCCCCCUUCCAGGUGGUCUGGGUUCAGGGGCCUAGACGUUUGCUGAGGAGGUUUAUAGGCACAAGCUAUAAAUACAAAGGCUCAUGGUUUCCUUGACUGCACAGUUCUCUUAAAAGCUUGGUAGAUUGCCUGUGUAUUUGCUGAUGGUAAGUUUCUGCGCAGAUAAUCACAGUCAAAUAUUUUAUAUAGACAUAAUUUUUUUUUUAAUUUGGAGACAUUAUUUUCCCUACUAGCCUCUGUACUCUGUCAUUCCCAAAUCCUCAAAAGAGGGGCAGGAAACCUUGAAUCCUUUUGAAACAAAAGACUCAAGUGAGAAGACAAUAACCUAAAUCCCGCCUUGCCGGAGGCCCACCACCUGCAUGUGGCCAUCUCCUGCUCAGGAUGCUACUACCUAAACCUCUUUAGCCUGGGAUACAGAAGUAGUUGACCUCAACCCCAACAACACUUCAAAUUUCUGGACUUGAAAAGAUCUAAAUUGCAGACUUUAGGUGGAGAAGACCUACCUGAAUGAUGCAGAAUUUCUUUUUAACUCUUCCACAGGUUGGCUACCUCCAGCCUGAGGUCCUCUCUUGAGAGAGCAGGCAAUACACACUGGUAUAUUGAAUUUUUACCAGUUAAUACUCCUCACGAGAUGUGCUUCCUUUCAGGGAAGGCAACCUGUCAUGGAGAGCACCUGAUGAAUCCUGAGGUGUGGGUUAAGGUAGAGCUGGUGGAAAAGGAAGAGGAGGAACCCUGGGAGCCUGAGCCUCUUCUCAUUCACUCUGAGCUCUGGGUAUACCAGUGAUCAAAUCAACUCGCUGAUGCAAUGUUAGGCGACGUGCUUGGCUUUAUGGCCCACUGUGCGCUGUCCAACGUGGCAGUCAUGAGUCACACGUGGCUGCUGCUCACGGGAAUGUGACUUGUCUGAAGGGAGCUGUGAUGGCGAUAUGAAAUACACAUCACACUUGGAAAACUUAGGACCAAAAAUGUAAAAUAAAUCCAUAAAUUUUACUGAUUCCUUUUACUUGAGAGAGGCGAUGAAGUUGUGAAUUCAACCUACACUAUAAUUCAGCAAAUCUCCUGGAUCAGUCUCACCAAUGACUUGCGGCUGCCGGAGAGAGGCGACUGUUUGAAGGCAAUCACGGAAACACCAUGGCGUAUUAACCAUGAUUUAAAUGGCGAAUUUAAAGCU
Molecule: long non-coding RNA, 3513 nt
Filed under: Sus scrofa (pig)
Lineage: Eukaryota; Metazoa; Chordata; Mammalia; Artiodactyla; Suidae
Description: lncRNA (ENSSSCG00015055438.1)
Source: RNAcentral